Molecule: long non-coding RNA, 3967 nt
Organism: Lates calcarifer (barramundi perch)
Lineage: Eukaryota; Metazoa; Chordata; Actinopteri; Centropomidae
Exons: 2
Source: RefSeq, a predicted model, not a curated record
GGUUACGUGUGAUGAGGUGUUGGUUGGUGGGAAGUUUCCAGGGCAACCUGCACGGGCGGAGCGGAUCGGUUUCUGUACAGCACAGAGCAACAGAAUUAAAGCACUCGGGUAUUACGGUGUAAGAAUUAAACUCACCCAAACCGAGGGGUGAGGCUCAACUGGAUUCCAGUGGGAAAAAAGUGAGGUAGUUUAUUUUAAAUGGAAAUAUCAGAUAAAAUGCUCCACAGCAGUUAGAGGUUUGCUUUAAAGUUUAUAGGACAUUUACCAAAUAAAAUUCUAAUACUUGACAGAUGUGGUAACAAUAAAUAAGUAUAUUUACUUAGUGAUGAUGGAAGUACUUAGAAGUAAAAGUACUAACAUUACAAUAUAAAAACACAAAUGAUCCCUGUGAGUGUUACAUUAUUAGAAAAUAGAUUAUUAUCAUAAUCAUUAGUGCCAAAGUAGCAUUUACUUUCACAGUUUUUCAGCUCAUUUUAACUAGACUAUAACAUUUCAGGGGGGAAAUACUGUAAUCAAAUGAUUAGUUUGUGGUGGUGUUUGACUUUCAGUAGUGUAAGAAGUAUUCAGAUACUUUAUAUAAGUAAAGUACAGUACUAACAGAUGGAGGCAGUGGUAUUCCAGCAGCUCCUGUGUUCUGCUUGGUAAAAUUCCUGUUUUUAUCAAUGGAGUCUGGUACUGAUGUAUAGUGAAGUUUCUGGUUAAACUAAAAGGAUCUUACUCUUUAAUAAAAAGGCUUAACUCUAUAGGAAUUCUAUCAAUAAUGUUGUCAGACACUUACAGUAACAAUUUGAGCCUGUCAGUGGCAUAAACACUUUAGCAGAUGUACUUUGACAUGGACAACUGGCCACUGGAUUAAAUUAGAGCAGCUGUGGUUGGCUACAUCGUUCUUGAUCAAUUCUGCACCGAUUACAAAGUUUUUGUCUCUAUCAAUCAUUUAAACCAAAAACAUUGGAAAAGGGGUUAAAAAAAAAAAGCCAGAGUUAUCUUUUAAAGCCACAAUGACAGUAGCACUAAACUCAAAGUUUGUUGGUAUUAGCCACCAUUAGUAUUAGCCACCAUUAGCGGCUAUAAGCUAAUGGCGACACCAGACCAAGUAAGAUUGAACUGAACUUAAUAAUUUCAAUUUUUAAUUUGUAAGUGGAAGAUUCUUAUUUCUUUUUCCACAAGCAUACAGUCUCAAUUUAAUAUCUCUUCGUCUCAGGAGCAAAUAACAUUAAUUACAAAUUGCUGGAUCUGUGUUAACACUACAAAUAAUGUGCCAUCUAUAGCGGAUAUUUUUUAAUCAGCCAGUUUCUGUUCAUUAAAUGUCACAGUUUCUAUAAAUAUCUAAAGCUGGGUGAACAAUCUGAUGUCGUAUCAUGGUGUACAACAUCUGCAGAGUCUUCCAAACAAACUCUUUUUGUCAAAUAAAGUGAUUUUUAAUUCUGAUUUUAACUUCCAGGAAAGGGACAACUUAACUGUCGGUACAAUGAUGAUUAUGAUUAAAAAAUAAAUAGAAAAUAAUGGCAAUUACAAUGUGUUACAAAAUAUGUGGAAUAGUUUACAUAUUAAAAAAACUUUUUUUCUAGAAAUUUGCAGUUAAAUAGUCUAUAAUUUCCAAAUAUAACAUUAUUGUGUUGCUCAAAUUGGCAAAUAACAUUAUUUGUCGUUGCCUUGUCGAGGCAAUGUCGGACCGCGAAGAGUUCAGUCGGAAAAUCAUCCAUAGAAAAAAACGUCAGCUUUUAAAAAGUGGUAGUAAGAAUAAUUUCAAACUUUAACUGCAUUACUCAGCUGACUGUCUGAUUUCUCUCAUACAUGCGUCAUGUAUGUAUGUAUGACCUCAAAUUUUUACAAUUGGUUUAUAAUUUUCUAACAUACAGUAUGUAUACAGUGCCAACAAUGAUCCAUUAUCCAACUAAUAACAUUAAAAUUACCAUGAUUAACAGUUCAUUUGGUACACACACGUUCUCUAAUGAAAACAGCUGAUUAUACAGUACAUAAACCCGCGUGGUGAUGGGUUAUACAUGUCAAACGAUUUAAAAACAUACAAAUAUCUUCCGAAUGGCAGAAAAUGCCACGACAACACAGCAUUUACAGUAUGCUUGAAACCCACAACCCCCUCCCAAAAGAGGCUAAAAUCAACGGAGGAGAACGUGGGAGUUUGUAUAUAUUUCACAGUGCUGAAGGAUGUCGGAGACACAAUGAACCUCAGCGUUCUCCCAACUUCAUGUUUUAAAAAUGUCUAUUAUACAUCUAGGCCUGGCCUUUAAAGGCUGGGCUUGCUUUUUGUUUCCUGUGUGAGGCAGAGGACUCACUUGGAUCUUUUUUUAAAUUCCUUCAUCUGUCUUUUUACUGCCCUUAUCCUACAUCAGUAUUACAUAUUAAAGGAUAAAUCUGGUGAUAUUCUAGAUUUGUCUUAUCGAACAAUAAAUGGAGGAAUCUCUGUCUGUCUUUCAAUUUUCUCGACAACUAUUCAUCCAAUCAAAGUGAAAUUUAGCGGGUGUGUUGCUCAGGACCCGAGUAAGUGCUGUGUCAACUGUGAAGUUUUGUGGAGGAGCGGUUCUCGAGAAAUCUUCAAACAUUGUAUUUCUACGUGUUUCUUGACAUGAGCAAAAAGUUGGAACUACACUAUUAGGGCAGUGUAGCACCUGGAGAAUUUACAGCAUCAACCCGCCGUCAUUCAGACACUAUUGGAGCAGAGCAGCCAACUCCAGCAGUAACAACUGAAUGAGGACUACACUAGUUUUGCCCCAAAUACUCAUUGGAGCACCAAAUGUGGAUUAAUCCACUGCUGAAAAUAGUCCUCAACCAAUGCACUAUUUCCACCUCUUUGAUAAAAAUUACAGUUACUAGUUGUUUACUGAGCCUUUAAAAGAAACUAAAUAUUUGUGAGUUGUUUUUGAAGAUUUACAUCUUCAGAAGGAACCAACAGGCUUGCAGAGUCAGGAAGUGUUGUUGUUGUUGAUUUUAGUCUUGUCAUGCAAUUUGUUGACAAUAAUAAAAACACAGAAUAUCAUAAGCCUCAUCCUUUAGUGCAGUGGUUCCCAAACUGGGGAUUUUUAUCAGGUAGGUGAGAGUACAGCACAGAAAGAAGGGCUGUUGAGUAAUGAACCUAAAGAACUUAAAGAAGAUCUCUAAUGUGAAUUACUAUUUAAAAGAAACGAGAGAACCUGGCUAGCUGUUUCCCAGUUUAUCUGCUAAGCUAAGCUAACUAGUGACUGGCUGUAGAGGACAGAUAGAACUCUUGGCAGGAAAUACCAAACAGCAGUUGUCACAGAGAAAGAGCCUGUAGUCUCCAAGGUCAAAGAGGGAGCGUCAUGCUUGUCGUUUUCUUCAAUAUUCGCUGGGUUGUGCAACGUGAAUUUGUCCCCGGGGUCAGACUGUCAACACUGAGUUCUACUGCAUCGUUCGGAGGACAUCCAGAGCAAACAACCUGAAUUGUGGACCAGAGGGUGCACCAUUAAGUUUCGUCGCUCCCCACCCGCCCUACUCCCGCGAUUCGGCUCCUUGUGACUUCUUCCUCUUCUCCAAAAUUAAAUUCAAGCUGAAAGGUUGCUGUUUUGACAAAGUGAUUAAGAUGAAUCACAAGUUGCAGAUGUCGCUUGACGCACUGGGAGCUGUGUAUCGCUGCGUUUCAAAGGCGAUUGCUGCCAAAUUUAAAUCAGAUCCAGUUUUUACUUAUGGACGUAGUCUCUCGUAUGUUUGGGUGUUUGAAACAGUAAAAGUUUGGGAACCACUGUAUUAAUGCGUCCACUAACUCCUCAUAAACACAUGCCAGGUUCCAUCAUCCUCCACUUCAAUUAUUAUAAUCUAUAGAUACAGAUCCUUCAGCCUGUGAUUUGUGCUAUAGUUAAAAUGCUGGUCUGCAGUCAGUGCCUACUGUUAUAGUCUUCACAUGUGGAGUGUUUUCCUCCUGUUUCCUCUGUGUUGAAAGAAUCUCAAAGUAGAGCAGGACACUUCAAAAUGACAAAGACACACAAAAACACAA